GCCUAACACAUGCAAGUCGAACGGAACUAUUUGACUGAUUCCUUCGGGAUGAAGAAUUUUAGUUAGUGGCGGACGGGUGAGUAACGCGUGAGUAACCUGCCUCUGAGAGGGGAAUAACGUUCUGAAAAGAACGCUAAUACCGCAUAACACAUAUUUGCCGCAUGACAGAUAUGUCAAAGAUUUUAUCGCUCGGAGAUGGACUCGCGUCCGAUUAGUUAGUUGGUGAGGUAACGGCUCACCAAGACCGCGAUCGGUAGCCGGACUGAGAGGUUGAACGGCCACAUUGGGACUGAGACACGGCCCAGACUCCUACGGGAGGCAGCAGUGGGGGAUAUUGCGCAAUGGGGGCAACCCUGACGCCAGCAACGCCGCGUGAAGGAUGAAGGUUUUCGGAUUGUAAACUUCUUUUAUCAGGGACGAACUCUGACGGUACCUGAUGAAUAAGCUCCGGCUAACUACGUGCCAGCAGCCGC
Molecule: ribosomal RNA, 473 nt
Filed under: uncultured bacterium
Lineage: Bacteria
Description: bacterial SSU rRNA
Rfam family: Bacterial small subunit ribosomal RNA
Source: RNAcentral